CGGGACGUGGUGUAACGGCUAACAUUCUCGGUUUGGGACCGAGCGAUUCCGGGUUCGAAUCCCGGCGUCCCGACUA
Molecule: transfer RNA, 76 nt
Filed under: bacterium
Lineage: Bacteria
Description: tRNA-Pro
Rfam family: tRNA
About the family: Transfer RNA (tRNA) molecules are approximately 80 nucleotides in length.
Source: RNAcentral